Molecule: ribosomal RNA, 248 nt
Filed under: uncultured Lachnospiraceae bacterium
Lineage: Bacteria; Bacillati; Bacillota; Clostridia; Lachnospirales; Lachnospiraceae
Description: partial 16S ribosomal RNA
Rfam family: Bacterial small subunit ribosomal RNA
Source: RNAcentral
UACGUAGGGGGCAAGCGUUAUCCGGAUUUACUGGGUGUAAAGGGAGCGUAGACGGCAAGGCAAGCCAGAAGUGAAAGGGCAGGGCUCAACCCUGUACAUGCUUUUGGAACUGUGGUGCUAGAGUGCAGGAGAGGUAAGUGGAAUUCCUAGUGUAGCGGUGAAAUGCGUAGAUAUUAGGAGGAACACCAGUGGCGAAGGCGGCUUACUGGACUGUAACUGACGUUGAGGCUCGAAAGCGUGGGGAGCAA